UGCGGUUAAAAAGCUCGUAGUUGGAUCUCGGCAGGUAGGGGGCGGUUCGUUUCUGACGGCACUGCCCCAUUUACCUGUGUUUUUGACGGAGGUUUCACGGUGAUUUUCAUCGAUUGUCGUGAUACGCCGUCAGGUUUACUUUGAAAAAAUUAGAGUGCUCAAAGCAGGCUACAAGCUUGAAUAUUUGUGCAUGGAAUAAUGGUAUAGGAAGUCGUUUCUAUUUUUUUGGUUUUCGGAAAUUGACUUAAUGAUUAAUAGGGACAGCCGGGGGCAUUCGUACUCAGACGACAGAGGUGAAAUUCUUGGACCGUCUGAGGACGAGCUACUGCGAAAGCAUUUGCCAAGAGUGUUUUCAUUAAUCAAGAACGAAAGUUAGAGGUUCGAAGGCGAUCAGAUACCGCCCUGGUUCUAACCAUAAACGAUGCUGACUAGCGAUCCGUAUCUGUUUUCUAUGU
Molecule: ribosomal RNA, 455 nt
Filed under: uncultured marine eukaryote
Lineage: Eukaryota
Description: SSU rRNA
Rfam family: Eukaryotic small subunit ribosomal RNA
Source: RNAcentral